GAUGAUUUUAGGAGUGUGAUCAUAUUUACUCAGAACCACGCUGACUGUAGAACUGUUUUAAUACACGCAGAACCACAUCUUUUACCUGUGAUGGAUUAAAAUAACGUUCUACUCUAAAUUAUUGACAAAAACAUGUUCAGAUGUCAGGCAGGCAGAACAUCAGAGAUGAUGAAUAAAGGAGGAACUUCAAACAGACCAGCAGAGACCAGAAUGAGGGAUACCAGGAUAGAAGACGGGUAAAUGUGGACACGAUGGAGAGCCUGUAGGACGUCUCCAUCACAUUUUAUACCAAACAACCUCAGGAGAAACGUAGAACCUCAGACUCAUUCUGACUUCAUCACUUUUGAUUCAUACGACAGUGAAGCUGACCCUGAUUUAAAUUUCUUUUCCUCGUUUAACUGCUCGAGUUUAUGUAUAAUGUAUAUACAUAUACAUUAGUAUAUGCUCGAGUACAUGUAUAAUGGUUAUGAAUCCCAGCUUAGCGACUCAUGUGCCUCUUUGCCUGCAAAUUCCUUUUCUACUUUUCAUCUGAAUAUUAGAGUUCUUCCAAGGAAGUUGGAUGGUUUCAUUCAUUAUCUUUCAUCUCUCAAUCAUGAUUUUUCUGUUACAGUGCUAUCAGAAUCUUGGCUUUCAGAGGACUCAAAAGAAAUGUUUAAUAUAACAAACUAUAAAUCAGCUGACAGAGUAAGAGCUAAUAGAUCUGGAGUUCAAUAAAAUAGUCUGCUGGUUCUGAUUCUGUUGACUUCUAGAACCUGCUAAAGUCGAGCCAACAGACUAAAAAGACCCAAACAUAAAACACACCUUUUGUUCCUCCGAGGUCGUCCGUCCUCGUUUUAGAGACUAAAUGAAAUGAAAUAUUGGUAACGUUCAGUAUUCGUUCCCUAAAGCUGAGAGGUUUGUUUUUAUCAGAACUAAAUUUCAGGACAGAAAAUAAAAACAUUUUACCAUUAAGCUUUUAUCUCUGGGACAUCAUAGCUUUUUCAGUAGUGAAGUCUAUUAAACAGUUUAAAAAGUACUAAAGUUCAUAUGUAAACUUUUCAACAGGCUCACUAAAAUGUAUAGUUGCUUCAGUUUUUUUAUUUUAUUAAAAUUCUAAUAAUAAUGUAAUAGCUUAAAUAAUGCAGGUAUAAACCAGGAUGACUCACUAAUUUUCAACAAACAUUGAGAUUCUUUAACUUGCAUAAUGAAUAAAUGAAUUUAUUAAAACUCAUUAUUAAAACUCAAUCAUAAAAGCUCUGGUUGUCUGACAACAAAUUAUACAUCAUACAGGAAACACACUUGGCAAAAAUAUUUUUCAUCAAUGAUGCAAAAAUAUGAAUACCACCCGACUCUGCAAACCUUUUGAGUAUUCAAUUAAAACAACUCAAACUUUGUAAUUACUUCCCGUUUCUCAAAUUCAAAUUUUGAAAUGAGAUUUAGUUCAGUGGUUUCAUGAAAUCUUAGUUUCAGGCAGGAGAUUGAUGUUAAAACUCUGAGAUUGUUUUUUUUUUAUUUUGCAACAAGUGUUUAAAAGUGGAGAACAGGACCAUCUGUGUCAGUUCUGGGAGUGAGUGAGAAAACUGAUUAAAUGCUGAGGUAGGAUCCAGAACAAGUUGUAAAUAGCACAGCUCCAGCUGAUCCUGAUAAAAGCAGGACCAGAUGAUAACUCAGGAGGUCAAAGUCAUUAUGAUUUAAAGUGACUUGACUGGAGUUUAGACUAUUAAAUCAAUGCGAUCCCAUAACUUAGUUAAAAGUAUUUUUAGAUAAAGCCCAUUAUACUUUUCUGCUUUUAACUGUGCUCCACAGCGCCCCCUGCUGUUAUACAACACUGAUCAUUGUGAUGACAUCCAAUCAUCCCCAGUCCAAGUAAUGAUUUUUAAGUAAACUUCCAAUAGGUUUAAUCCCUCACAUUGAUUCUCAUUGAGCUGUUUUGCAGAUCAUUUUAGCCCAUCUAGUGGUACACCAGAGGAACGUUAUUUCCUGCUUAAUGUUCCUUCCGACCCCCUUUUGUGUCGGGACUCAUGCGGUUUUGCGUUGACCAGAAUAGACAAGGUUUUUUUUAAAAUCUACAUCAUGUUUGUGUGUCACUGGACACCACAAUUUAUUUUAAACCCUCAGUAAAUACCUUGUUUACAUCGAAAAAUUUACCUGUAGACUCAUUUUGAUGGGGUUGAAAACUCAGGUAUAGACAGAAAUAGGAAACAAUUUACCACCUGCUCUCUUAUAAUCAUAUUAAUCACAUUUACCUCAUUCUAAAUCAAAUCUGAUCUUUAAUCAAAAUUUAUUAAGCACUUUCCACACAAAUGCAGCUCAAAGCGCCAAACAACCUGACAGUAGUCGGUUUCCCACCCCUCCCACACAUUCACAUGAGAUCUCCUUUGCAUCGCCCUCCUCCUCUUGAGCUGAAGAUGAAUCUCCGUCUGUUUCUUGCCUCAGUGCUAAGCUGCUUCCUUCAGAUGCUUUCAGUCAACUCAGUAAAAUAAUUUCACCUCAUCGGUAAUGUGGUCAAAUCUGUGCCCUUGCCUAUUAUCAAGGCCCGAAUUUUUGCUGCAAUAAGUAAAGAAAACUCACUUAACACGUCGUUUCCGUUUGGACCUGGCUCUUAAGAGUUGAUGCUGUUACUUAAUGCUCCAAGACAAAAGUUUCAAACCAAAUAUUUUAUUUCAGAUAUAACGAACUUUAACAUAAUGUGUGGAUAAAUAUCCCUGUUUUGGGUAAAAUUGUACAAAUGACACAAUUACAAUAUAUUUUAAUUGUAAGACUAAACAAAAGGUCAAAUGUUUUUUUUUCCUUAAUACUGAUCUUCAUUACCCCAUUUACAACCAACACGCCAGUAGUUACAUAACAUUUUGUAGAACAGCAAUUCCCAUUCUAUGCUUACAUCUCCAAACACAAGUUAAAUAACAGAGGCUGGUCCAUUCUGAAGACUUCGGUCAUAAAACAAAUUUUAGUAUUAGCAUUUAAUUCGACAGCCUAGAACAAAUACAGUUAGAUGACGUUGUUAUAUGUAUAAUAUGCCACUAGAGGGCGGCCGUGAACAAAGAGACGCAACUAGAACAUUCCAGUAGCCCCGCCCUUAAGGGGAGAGGUCUGACCACGCCCCAUUAUGUUGUUUACUAGUUUUAGGACACUUCAGGACUUGUUUUUCGACGUUUACAAUAUAUCGGAACUUUUGCAUUAAAGAAAACAUCUUUAUGAUCAUAUUUUCAUCUCUUUAAAGUACAUUUACAGUUUUAUAGAGAAUAAGAUUUCAAAUGUUAGUUUUUAACGAUUGCAUUUUUCUAUUUUUGAGUUAGAAACCAUACACAUGCAUCCCACCCCACCCAUAUUUUCUACCAUUCUCACCAUGCAUUUUGUACGCACAGUUUCAUCCACCGAGGUAAAUUUAUAAGUCUUUUAAACACCACACUAAACCACCUUUAUUUUGGAGCACGAGACCAAAAAUUAUUCCGAUCACGCGCCCAGUCCGUCUGAUGUCAUUAUACUUCUGUUUUUUAUGGAAACGUCUCUUUGCUUCAGCGACGACAAUUCUGCAACGAAUAAAACAAGUUUUCAGGAAUCACAAUAAACAGUCAGAAACCCCAAAUUAGACCCGAUCCCGCCAAGAACCCCUACAGGAAACGGAGACUUCACUCACGGUCCCGAGGCGAACCCGCUCCAACAACCUGCUUUUCCUUGACGUCCGUCUUGUUUCGGGUCAGUCCGCAGUACACAGAGGGAAGAAUGUGACGCAGCUCCCUUUAUAUAAACACCCACUGGCUCCUUCUGGAAGAUUCCAUGCGCCUCAAUCCAGUCAGAGUUUACGAAGAGAGCCACAUCCGGUACAGACUGUCAAAAUACAGGCCCUGUCUCACACACACACACACACACACACACACACACACACACACACACACACACACACACACACACACACACACUCUUUAUUUGACAUAGCGCAUUUAAACACAGCAUGCCAGUUGACCAAAGAGCUUCACAGCCAAUAAUCACAAAAGGAUCUCUGAAACCAAGCCUGAUAAAACACAUGUUGUCUCUGAGGAGCUGAGUUUUCUAAAAAUCUUUAAAGAUGAUUUUGACAAAUGACCAAAAAAUAAAAAUAAAAAAGAGUAGGCGACAUUAGUCACCUAAUAUCACGUGGUUCCUA
Molecule: long non-coding RNA, 4123 nt
Organism: Nothobranchius furzeri (turquoise killifish)
Lineage: Eukaryota; Metazoa; Chordata; Actinopteri; Cyprinodontiformes; Nothobranchiidae
Source: Ensembl